This 82-nucleotide transfer RNA is filed under the name Microlunatus kandeliicorticis. Its description in RNAcentral is "Friedmanniella endophytica tRNA-Pro". The record is from RNAcentral. Lineage: Bacteria; Bacillati; Actinomycetota; Actinomycetes; Propionibacteriales; Propionibacteriaceae.
AGUGUGAAGCGGCAUCGCCGACGCUUCUCCGGAGUCCAUGGCAUGGAAAAGGUCAGGGGUUCGAAUCCCCUAAGCUCCACCA